GGCGGUUCUCAGGUGAUGCACCUUGGAAUCAGGCUCCCUCCUUUCUGGUUCCGGGUGAGUCACCCGAGAACUGCA
Molecule: non-coding RNA, 75 nt
Organism: Myotis lucifugus (little brown bat)
Lineage: Eukaryota; Metazoa; Chordata; Mammalia; Chiroptera; Vespertilionidae
Source: Rfam